GCCCGGGUGGUGGAAUCGGUAGACACAGCAGACUUAAAAUCUGCCGGCCUUAUUUGGCCGUGCCGGUUCAAGUCCGGCUCCGGGCACCA
This 89-nucleotide transfer RNA is filed under the name Gilvimarinus algae. Its description in RNAcentral is "tRNA-Leu". It matches the Rfam family "tRNA". From Rfam's summary of the family: Transfer RNA (tRNA) molecules are approximately 80 nucleotides in length. Their secondary structure includes four short double-helical elements and three loops (D, anti-codon, and T loops). Further hydrogen bonds mediate the characteristic L-shaped molecular structure. tRNAs have two regions of fundamental functional importance: the anti-codon, which is responsible for specific mRNA codon recognition, and the 3' end, to which the tRNAs corresponding amino acid is attached (by aminoacyl-tRNA synthetases). tRNAs cope with the degeneracy of the genetic code in two manners: having more than one tRNA (with a specific anti-codon) for a particular amino acid; and 'wobble' base-pairing, i.e. permitting non-standard base-pairing at the 3rd anti-codon position. Lineage: Bacteria; Pseudomonadati; Pseudomonadota; Gammaproteobacteria; Cellvibrionales; Cellvibrionaceae. The record is from RNAcentral.